CUACGGGAGGCUCCAGUGGGGAAUCUUAGACAAUGGGGGAAACCCUGAUCUAGCCAUGCCGCGUGAGUGACGAAGGCCCUAGGGUCGUAAAGCUCUUUCGCCGGGGAAGAUAAUGACGGUACCCGGUAAAGAAGUCCCGGCUAACUCCGUGCCAGCAGCCGCGGUAAUACGGAGGGGACUAGCGUUGUUCGGAAUUACUGGGCGUAAAGCGCGCGUAGGCGGACUAUUAAGUCAGGGGUGAAAUCCCGGGGCUCAACCCCGGAACUGCCCUUGAUACUGGUAGGCUUGAGUUCGAGAGAGGUGAGUGGAACUCCGAGUGUAGAGGUGAAAUUCGUAGAUAUUCGGAAGAACACCAGUGGCGAAGGCGGCUCACUGGCUCGAUACUGACGCUGAGGUGCGAAAGCGUGGGGAGCAAACAGGAUUAGAUAUCCGAGUAGUC
Molecule: ribosomal RNA, 439 nt
Filed under: uncultured bacterium
Lineage: Bacteria
Description: partial 16S ribosomal RNA
Rfam family: Bacterial small subunit ribosomal RNA
Source: RNAcentral